GAUGAACGCUGGCGGCGUGCCUAAUACAUGCAAGUCGAGCGAACGGACGAGAAGCUUGCUUCUCUGAUGUUAGCGGCGGACGGGUGAGUAACACGUGGAUAACCUACCUAUAAGACUGGGAUAACUUCGGGAAACCGUAGCUAAUACCGGAUAAUAUUUUGAACCGCAUGGUUCAAAAGUGAAAGACGGUCUUGCUGUCACUUAUAGAUGGAUCCGCGCUGCAUUAGCUAGUUGGUAAGGUAACGGCUUACCAAGGCAACGAUGCAUAGCCGACCUGAGAGGGUGAUCGGCCACACUGGAACUGAGACACGGUCCAGACUCCUACGGGAGGCAGCAGUAGGGAAUCUUCCGCAAUGGGCGAAAGCCUGACGGAGCAACGCCGCGUGAGUGAUGAAGGUCUUCGGAUCGUAAAACUCUGUUAUUAGGGAAGAACAUAUGUGUAAGUAACUGUGCACAUCUUGACGGUACCUAAUCAGAAAGCCACGGCUAACUACGUGCCAGCAGCCGCGGUAAUACGUAGGUGGCAAGCGUUAUCCGGAAUUAUUGGGCGUAAAGCGCGCGUAGGCGGUUUUUUAAGUUUGAUGUGAAAGCCCACGGCUCAACCGUGGAGGGUCAUUGGAAACUGGAAAACUUGAGUGCAGAAGAGGAAAGUGGAAUUCCAUGUGUAGCGGUGAAAUGCGCAGAGAUAUGGAGGAACACCAGUGGCGAAGGCGACUUUCUGGUCUGUAACUGACGCUGAUGUGCGAAAGCGUGGGGAUCAAACAGGAUUAGAUACCCUGGUAGUCCACGCCGUAAACGAUGAGUGCUAAGUGUUAGGGGGUUUCCGCCCCUUAGUGCCGCAGCUAACGCAUUAAGCACUCCGCCUGGGGAGUACGACCGCAAGGUUGAAACUCAAAGGAAUUGACGGGGACCCGCACAAGCGGUGGAGCAUGUGGUUUAAUUCGAAGCAACGCGAAGAACCUUACCAAAUCUUGACAUCCUUUGACAACUCUAGAGAUAGAGCCUUCCCCUUCGGGGGACAAAGUGACAGGUGGUGCAUGGUUGUCGUCAGCUCGUGUCGUGAGAUGUUGGGUUAAGUCCCGCAACGAGCGCAACCCUUAAGCUUAGUUGCCAUCAUUAAGUUGGGCACUCUAAGUUGACUGCCGGUGACAAACCGGAGGAAGGUGGGGAUGACGUCAAAUCAUCAUGCCCCUUAUGAUUUGGGCUACACACGUGCUACAAUGGACAAUACAAAGGGCAGCGAAACCGCGAGGUCAAGCAAAUCCCAUAAAGUUGUUCUCAGUUCGGAUUGUAGUCUGCAACUCGACUACAUGAAGCUGGAAUCGCUAGUAAUCGUAGAUCAGCAUGCUACGGUGAAUACGUUCCCGGGUCU
RNAcentral lists this ribosomal RNA (1372 nucleotides) under uncultured bacterium. RNAcentral describes it as "bacterial SSU rRNA". It matches the Rfam family "Bacterial small subunit ribosomal RNA", at positions 28 to 1381 of the family's 1533-position model. The record is from RNAcentral.